GACUCGAUAGCUCAAUGGGUAGAGCGGCGGUCUAGAUACCCGAAAAUGCGAGUUCAAACUCUCGCUCGAGCCA
Paramuricea clavata is the source of this 73-nucleotide non-coding RNA. Lineage: Eukaryota; Metazoa; Cnidaria; Anthozoa; Malacalcyonacea; Plexauridae. The record is from the annotation of a GenBank genome assembly.